UGAGGGAUAUUGCACAAUGGGCGCAAGCCUGAUGCAGCGACGCCGCGUGGGCGAAGAAGGUUUUCGGAUCGUAAAGCCCUUUUCUUGGUGACGAGAGAGGACGGUAGCCAAGGAAGAAGUGUCGGCUAACUACGUGCCAGCAGCCGCGGUAAAACGUAGGACGCAAGCGUUAUCCGGAGUUACUGGGCGUAAAGCGCGAGCAGGUGGAUGGAUAAGUUAUUUAUGAAAGCUCCUGGCUAAACUGGGAGAGGAUGGAUAAGACUGUCGAUCUAGAGUGAAUUAGAGGGAUACGGAAUUCCGGGUGUAGUGGUGAAAUGCGUAGAGAUCCGGAGGAACACCAGAGGCGAAGGCGGUAUCCUGGGAUUCAACUGACACUGAGGCGCGAAAGCGUGGGGAGCGAACGGGAUUAGAUACCCCCGUAGUCC
Molecule: ribosomal RNA, 425 nt
Filed under: uncultured prokaryote
Description: bacterial SSU rRNA
Rfam family: Bacterial small subunit ribosomal RNA
Source: RNAcentral